Perkinsus marinus ATCC 50983 is the source of this 73-nucleotide non-coding RNA. NCBI's taxonomy places the organism in Eukaryota, Perkinsozoa, Perkinsida, Perkinsidae. The record is from Rfam.
GCAUUCUUAGCUUAGUUGGUAGAGCACCCGCUUAGUAAGCGGGAGGUCGUCGGUUCAACUCCGUUAGAAGGCU